AUUGAACGCUGGCGGCAGGCUUAACACAUGCAAGUCGAGCGUGCGGCGGACGGGUGAGUAAUGUCUGGGAAACUGCCUGAUGGAGGGGGAUAACUACUGGAAACGGUAGCUAAUACCGCAUACCAUCAGAUGUGUCCAGAUGGGAUUAGCUAGUCGGUGGGGUAAUGGAUCACCUAGGCGACGAUCCCUAGCUGGUCUGAGAGGAUGACCAGCCACACUGGAACUGAUAACCGUUCCAGACUCCUACGGGAGGCAGCAAUGGGGAAUAUUGCACAAUGGGCGCAAGCCUGAUGCUGCCUUGCCGCGUGUGUGAAUCAGGCCUUCGCGUUGUAAAGCACGUUCUGCGGGGAGGCGUUACUCGCAGAAGAAGCACCGGCUAACUCCGUGCCAGCAGCCGCGAUAAUUC
This 406-nucleotide ribosomal RNA is filed under the name uncultured bacterium. RNAcentral's name for it is "partial 16S ribosomal RNA". It matches the Rfam family "Bacterial small subunit ribosomal RNA", at positions 30 to 526 of the family's 1533-position model. The record is from RNAcentral.